AGAGAGAGACAUGCGCGCAUAUCAAUAAGCGGAGGAAAAGAAACUAACUAGGAUUCCCCUAGUAACGGCGAGUGAAGCGGGAAGAGCUCAAAUUUGAAAUCUUAAAGGGUUUCCCUUUACGAAUUGUAGUUUAAAGAAGUGUUUUCUGUUGAGGUUUUGGUAAAAGUUCUUUGGAAUAGGACAUCAUAGAGGGUGAGAAUCCCGUAUUUGACCUUUACUUUCAACUUUGUGAUACACUUUCAAAGAGUCGGAUUGUUUGGGAAUGCAGUCCAAAAUGGGUGGUAAAUUUCAUCUAAAGCUAAAUAUUGGCGAGAGACCGAUAGCGAACAAGUACCGUGAGGGAAAGAUGAAAAGAACUUUGAAAAGAGAGUUAAACAGUACGUGAAAUUGUCAAAAGGGAAGCGUUUGACACCAGUGUUGUUUUUCUGAAAAUCAAUUAAAGAACUGUUUAUGCUAAGCUGUUUAGACUUUAUCAGCUAACUGUUUAGUUUUGAGCUUUUCUUUAAUGCACUUUUCAGUUAACAAGUCAACAUCAAUUUCUUUUGCUGUAAAAAAGCUUGAGGAAGGUGGCUUGAGAUUCGUCUUAAGUGUUUAUAGCCUCUUGCCUAUGCAGUCGGAGAGAUUGAGGUCUGCAGCGUAGAUCCUUCGGGGCUAAAUGCAUUUGUGCUAAGUUAUAGCAUUUUAUAGACAACUUGUUGACUAUGAUUUGUCUUGUAGCUUACUCGCUUAUGUUAUUUUACCUACGCUUAGGAUGUUGAUGUGAUACUGCGAGC
RNAcentral lists this ribosomal RNA (773 nucleotides) under uncultured Neocallimastigales. RNAcentral's name for it is "partial large subunit ribosomal RNA". It matches the Rfam family "Eukaryotic large subunit ribosomal RNA", at positions 23 to 645 of the family's 3401-position model. The record is from RNAcentral. Lineage: Eukaryota; Fungi; Neocallimastigomycota; Neocallimastigomycetes; Neocallimastigales.